RNAcentral lists this long non-coding RNA (3876 nucleotides) under Chinchilla lanigera (long-tailed chinchilla). RNAcentral describes it as "lncRNA (ENSCLAG00000024685.1)". Lineage: Eukaryota; Metazoa; Chordata; Mammalia; Rodentia; Chinchillidae. The record is from RNAcentral.
ACGAAGAGGCAGUCCUGUUCUUAGGCAUCCCAGCUGCCUGGUGCCCUGUAAAAAGUGCUAAGACCGUUCUCGACCCUUUCAUUUCCAUUGCACUCACUCAAAAGUACCUGGAAACUUUUCUCCAGCUUGGAAUUACAAUGAUUUUAGAAAGCAAAUGUAUUUGCUGUAUGCACGGAGUCGAAUCAUUCCCCAUCCCUUUCUCCACAAUCAAAACUAACACUUUCCCAUUACAACUAUCUUUAAAGUGAGGCAGAGAGAACGGAAUCUGAAUUGCAGAGUAAGAUGCUGAGCAAAGAUCUGACAAAACCCACUUCAGCCUUUAAAUAAUCUGAAGCCCUCCCUUUCUCACUGGUUGUAAAACGUGAUAGGGACUUGGAUUGCGUUGACGAUUCAUACGUCUGUAAUUUCUUUUAAAUGCCCACGUCAGGGUAUUUUUUGUUUGUUUCCAGUCUCACUCAGAGUUUUCCAGAUCAAGUUUCAGUCGUGAACCACCACUCCCCAUAGCACCCCCCCCCCGACUUCUUCCUCCACUCCUCUUUCCAACUUGGCUGCCCAGCAGUUGGGAAAGCCUUCUCUCCACUUGCCGAGAAAGUGGUGGCAUCCCAGGGCUUCCCGCUCCCUGAAGCCGCACGGGAUCCCGCCAGACACCUUCACAGAGCACGCGGCGCUUCCGCCACCAAACUGGGUAUCACCCCGAGGAGGGCAGCGCGGCCGACUCCCCGCCCCCACCGCGCGCGCAGCCUCGGGGCUGGCUCACUGGAGCAGCCCGGGAGCCCCGAGCUCCCCGAAGCGGGGCGCUGUGCCCCGCUCCCCAGAUUCCCCGUUUCCUGCCUUUUUCUGUCAAAUGGGAUUUGCUGGACUGAACCACGUUCGCCGCCCGGCUCCCCCUCCUCCCUCCUCCUGGCCGCGUCGGGUCCGGGAAAGCACCGAGGCUCCCAUGCUGUGACCAAUCAGCUUUCGGCUCUGAUGAGGGGUCUUCCCGCUGCUGAUUGCAAACACUAAUGAACUUACAGCGCCAUUUGAAAUUCACACGCACCAACAAAGUCUGGGGGGUGGGCAUUUCAGGUCAGCCGAGUCACCCGAGGAGGUGGGAGUGCUAGACACUGCCGGGAAGAUGGAUUCCGGGGCCGAAGGGUGUAAUUAAGGAUUGCCACCCCCGGCGGGCGGCCCGUCCUUCAGCGAGCCUCUGAAAAUGACCUGUGCCUUCCCUUCCCGAGUGUCUUCUCUUCCGAAACUGAAAAGCGCCAGUGACCUUCGGACGGGAGAGGGCUGCACUAAACACGCAGACUUCCUUCCGAGCCGCAGCCCUGCACUGUAGAACAAGUGUCCGCGCCCGGGUGCAAGUGCCCGGGCCUCCGAGGAACGUGACCUGGCCAGGGCGCACACUGGGGUCCUCUGAAGCUCCGGUCCCCAUCCGUAUUCAAACGCAUUUACACAUUCUCUCUCUCCCCGCUCUCCCCCUCCUCUUUCGCCUCCCCUGCCCUCCUCCUUCUUUUCUUCCUCCUGGCGGAUUAGCAGCCCAACACUGCCCCUGUCUCAAGUUUGUUAUGGGAAGGGAAAAAAGUUUACUGCUUUUCGCGACACACUGGCACUUGCUACUCACUCAAGUUCCCACCGAAACUCCAGCUCCCGGAGCCCAUUCCUCUUCCCAGGCCCCUGAGAUGCAGACACCACCCUCAACCCUCCCUCCUCGCAGGGCUUCCUAAAUCUGCUUCGAGUUGUCCUUCUUCCCAGUUUUGGAAUCUGACACCCAUAACCUUCCCGGCUGUCAGGCUCGUCCACUCCCUGCCAGCUUGUGGCGCCUUUACAGUGCAGCGGCAGGCGUGGAGCCCGCUCCUGCGGUGGAUGGAGCGCGAGGUUCCCCGCCGGGCGUCCCAGCAUUUCCCGGCCCUGCCCAAGGCCCUGCUGCCAGCCGGCCAGUGGCUCAGAGUCAGUGCCUCGGUCUGCCCCGACCGCUGCCAACCUGUCACGACAGCUUGGCAGAGGAAAUGAUACUGGAGGAGCCCGGUCACCGCACCCUCCCCUGGCAACUCCAGAGCUGGGGCUACGGACCUUACCUAACUUGGCGGGUAGGAAAGAGAUUUGUAUUUUCACUUGCAGCUGCGUAUAGGGCAAGAUCGAAUCUAGCGCUCGCAAAAGCAAAGGGCAACGCUUCCUAGGAAAGCCUGAGUCUUUAUGAUCGAGUUUCUCCAAAGUUUGGGGUGGAUCUCAUUUGUGAACUCAAAUUAGCCGUUCUGGACCCACAGUCUAAGCUCCCGAAGUUGCUAAGUGACCCAGCGCACCACAAUGUGUCAAGAAGUCUCACAACUAAGCGAACCCCACCUGGUUCCUGGGGCACUAGUGACGCACCACAGACGCACCUUUCCGGGAACAAUCAAGAGUUGCCCUGGGGUGCUUCGUACUCUUUCCCGCCGUAGUGAAUUUCAUACUUGUAAAAAAAAAAAGAGGGUGGGGUGGGGUGGGGUCAGAGGAAUGUAUUUCUCAUUCUAUCCGUUCUCAUCUUGAGAAGUUGGUCAACUGUGCAAAUAUGCGCCAGAUAUUAAAUGAUGAUCAUGCAAACUGCUCAAAACUUGCACUCCUGAUAUAAUCCUAAGGAAACUGAGUGUUUCAUAAAUCAACUUUGUGGCCCAGAUCCCACAAAAACAUUUUAAGUGUUUAAAAACUUUUACAACUGUCCAAGUGAGACUCCCCCUUGCUCUUCUGUACCUUGCUCUCUAGGAAUACACAAUGAAGACAAAAGACACUGCCCCAUUCCUACAGAAGCCAGAGCGGAGAGCUGCGUCAGGGACAUAGGGAGGGGGUUAAUCUCUUUUUUUUUUUUUUUUUUUUUUUUGUAGAACCCUCAUUAUAGCUAACGCUAGUAAUAAACGAAGGAGACAAUAGAACUCAUGAAACUUAGAAAAGGUAAUAAAUCUUGGCGCCUGUUCCUAGUCUACUUCCCGGUUACAUGAUUUUCAAAGUUUUUAAGUUUGUGGUGGUGAACAUUCACCAAAGUGGACCCAAUAUAUAUAUAUAUAUAUUUAAAAAAAUAAAACCCUAGAACUCAUGACUUGCCCUGUGCAUUCAGUGCCCUAGGUGGCGAUGGACAAAGCGCACAGCUGUUCCCGCCAACGUCCUCCCGUGUCCCGAGGGGCAGCCUGUAGUAAUUCAGGCAGUGUGUGUAUGUGUUAAAUUUGGGGAGGGGGAAAUGAGAGAGAAAGAUCCGUCAUUUGAGGACUUUAGGAAAAGCUGACACGCAUUGCCAAAGAGUACUACUCUCUGCCUCCUCCAAACGCAUCCCUGGAAAGCAGAAAGGCAGCUCCCUACGUGACCAUGAGCCACUUUGCCUCCCCGAACUGUUGUCCUGGGAGGACGAGGAGGGCGGGUAGCUCACAUCUUACCCUUCGCAGCGAUAAAAACUAGAGUAGGAGAAGAAAUGCAAGACAGUGCAGUCUGCUGUGCAGACCUCUGGCUGCUGCACACAGCAAACUCUUCUGGCUGGUGACUUUGCGGUGUUAACGCAGCCGGCCGUGCGCGGGGAUAAUGGGGCCGCCGAGCUGGCGGCAUCGCUGUCCCUUGGGCCCCUCUUGUCACACAGACAUGCCGCUCUCCGCAAAGAGAAUGUGGCAGAGCUUCCAGCACAGCCCGCGUCCGUAUGCCUAGAAAUGUAUGCCUGCGGCCUUAGUGAGCCUCGGGGAAGGCAAAGGCUAAACCUCCGGAUGUGCUUUGAGGUUAGGAAGGCUGCCCCUGUGUCUUCAGAACUGGGAAAGGGCCAGGCUCAUGCCCGGAUGCGGUUGCAGGGCCAGACCUCAGUCAGGAGUCGCCCCCCCACUUAAAGGUGAUUCUUCCCCAUUACAGUCAGCAUCACGUGAGCCUCCUCCGGAGACUUGAUUCGGA